Molecule: unclassified non-coding RNA, 1247 nt
Filed under: Daphnia pulicaria
Lineage: Eukaryota; Metazoa; Arthropoda; Branchiopoda; Diplostraca; Daphniidae
Description: uncharacterized LOC124336399, transcript variant X4
Source: RNAcentral
UUCGCAAUCAUGGCAGGUACAAUUGCCGCAAGGUUCGAGUUGGAUGGUGAAUGAGGAAGGGAAAAUCGUAUUAAACGCGAGAAGGGAGAUAGGAGUCAGUCGAAUGAGCAUCUCCGACACGGCAACAACUGCAGCAAAGCAGCGCACUGUCACCAACUGCAUUCCUCAUCCUGUAACCAAUUCGCAAUCAUGGUGUCGCGCUGGUGUUGGGUGUUGUAUCGUCGAUGGCUGGGUCGACCACUGGUGUACCGAUGUCUUCUUGCUAUGGCGAAUACUGAACCGCACUGCCACCGCCUUACUACACAACAACAACUUACGCAACGACCAGUUACUACACCGAGGCCACCAAGUACUACACCACUAAGGCACGGGAGUACUACACGACUAACUAAGUAUGCUGCUCCAUCCUACUACAUACAAUGAGGCUACCAAGUACUACUGUUCCCAGCUACUGCAACGAGGUUCCAGCUCAUUACUCCGCCAAAACGGUUGAAUAUUACACUGAAGCGCCAAAGUACUACUCUGCCCUGAUAUACCCAACCACAACUGAGGCGGCCAAGUCUCAGCCCCGACUUACUACACAGAAGCUGCUCCUUCGUACUACGUUGCACAGAAAUACUACACUGAUGCUCUAGUUCACUACACCACAACCUACGCUACACCUAGCUACUACACCAAAGCCAAGUACUGCACCGGCAAGGUCGAAUAUUACACAACCACUAUGCUGCCACAGUCUACUACACCGUAGCCCCCAAGUACUACCCCGUCAAGGUCGAAUUUUUCACAACCACUAUGCUGCCCCAGUUUACUACACCGAACCUAAGUAUUACUCUGCUCCAAGCCUUUACUAAAUAGAGGUUCCUGUUUACUACACCACACAUCCCCGAAGAAUUAUACUAUAACCUACGCUGCCACCAGGUACUACACUGAGGCUCCCAGCUGCUGGGGAUUGGACAUCACCAAGGAACCCGAAUAUUACACCACUACUUACGCUGCUCCGACCUACUACACCGAAGCCGAAGCUCCGAAGCACUACUCUGCUCCGAGUUACUACACUACUAAGGCAUCUGAAUAUUACACCACAACCUACGCUUCCCCAACUUACUACAAGGAGGCUCCUAAAUACUAGAUCCAAAAUUUCUAUAUUAUUUAAUCAUGUUUAAAUUUGGCGUUUAUCUUCAUGGUUAUUAGACACUGGGAAUUGAUUGUUGAUCUUUAUUGAAAAUAAAUAUUUGUAAUGCGGUAAA